ACUGGCACUGCUGUGUAUUUUUAAAAUAUCUUGUGAUGCUGGUGUAUAAUAAGGACAGGGCCAAAAACCCUGUAGCAUGGCGCGGCUGACCUCAACCAAAGGCUCCAGUCUCUGGGAGGUGUAGGGCCAGAUCCAGCUCGACCUCACCAUGAGAGCCAAGUGGAGAAAAAAGCGAAUGCGUCGUCUUAAGCGUAAGAGGAGAAGAAUGAGGCAAAGGUCUAAGUAAUUAAUUCACACAGCAGCAGCGACGAAUAGGAAUAGCAGACCCCCCUUAAUGAGUCGCAACAUCAUCAAAUGUCAUGUCGUUAGGGAUAAGAUAAGAACUUCUAGAAUCAUCUCUCCUCAUCUACUAAUCCAAGAUCUUAAACUUAAGUCUUCCAUCUGAUAGUCAUCUUUGCCAUCAGAUACCUACAGCACCAAUUUAAAGAUUUUAAGACGGACAUCAAGUUCAUUCGACUAAGUUAAUAUUGAUAAGCCCCUAACAAUAAGACAGAUCAGCAAAUUUCGGUUUCUUGGUAGCUGAGCACAACCUAGGUAACUAAGCUAACUAAUAAAUUGUCUCCUCUGCAAACAAAA
Sarcophilus harrisii (Tasmanian devil) is the source of this 576-nucleotide long non-coding RNA. RefSeq lists it as uncharacterized. NCBI's taxonomy places the organism in Eukaryota, Metazoa, Chordata, Mammalia, Dasyuromorphia, Dasyuridae. The transcript is spliced from 2 exons. The record is from RefSeq and is a predicted model, not a curated record.